This is an RNA transcript of Populus euphratica (Euphrates poplar), 1959 nucleotides long. It is a transcript of the gene named glucan endo-1,3-beta-glucosidase 5-like, with no coding region annotated. Lineage: Eukaryota; Viridiplantae; Streptophyta; Magnoliopsida; Malpighiales; Salicaceae. The transcript is spliced from 4 exons. The record is from RefSeq and is a predicted model, not a curated record.
CCCCCCUCAAUGAAUGGUAUUGAAGGAAACCCUUAGAGCUCUCUCCUUUCUUGGACGAACAAAAUGUCAAGAUUAUCAAGAACUCUGCUUUAUCUUGUGCCAGCAAUCAUACUACUAUCAGGGUCAUUUCCAGGAGAAUCAGCAAUAGGAGUCAACUGGGGGACAAUCUCAUUUCACAGGUUGAAGCCUUCAACUGUGGUGGAUCUGUUGAAAGACAACAAGAUAAAGAAAGUGAAGUUGUUUGAUGCAGACCCAGGGGCGCUUACUGCUUUAAUGGGGAGUGGGAUUGAAGUCAUGGUUGGGGUUCCUAAUGAGAUGUUGGCUGCUAUUAGCUCUUCAACUGAUGCUUCUGAUUUGUGGGUUAGGCAAAAUGUGUCUAGAUAUGUUGUUAAAGGUGGUGCUGAUAUAAGGUACGUUGCUGUAGGAAAUGAACCAUUCCUCACAAGUUAUUCAGGUCAAUUUCAAUCUUUCGUUGUCCCUGCUCUGCUCAAUCUACAACAGUCUCUGGUGAAAGCAAAUCUAGCUAGUUAUGUAAAGCUAGUAGUUCCUUGCAAUGCUGAUGCUUAUGAGUCUUCUCUUCCUUCUCAAGGGGCAUUCCGACCUGAACUAACUCAGAUUAUGACUCAACUUGUGUCCUUCCUCAACUCAAACGGCUCACCUUUUGUUGUGAAUAUCUACCCAUUUCUUAGCUUGUAUGGGAACUCAGAUUUUCCACAAGAUUAUGCGUUCUUUGAGGGGAGUACCCAUCCUGUUACAGAUGGGUCUAAUGUUUACUACAAUGCUUUUGAUGGGAAUUUCGACACUUUAGUUGCAGCGCUCAACAAACUUGGAUAUGGUCAAAUGCCCAUUGUUAUUGGCGAGGUGGGUUGGCCAACUGAUGGAGCCAUUGGCGCAAACCUCACUGCAGCAAGGGUUUUCAACCAGGGACUUAUAAAACAUGUAUUGAGUAACAAAGGAACCCCUCUGAGACCAGAUGCCCCUCCCAUGGAUAUUUAUCUUUUCGCUUUGCUUGAUGAAGGAGCAAAGAGUGUACUCCCAGGAAACUUUGAACGACACUGGGGGAUUUUCUCGUUUGAUGGCCAGGCUAAAUAUGCACUGAACCUUGGUUUGGGUAACAAGUUACUGCAGAAUGCAAAGAAUGUCGAGUAUCUCCCAUCAAGGUGGUGUGUGGCAGACCCCUCAAAAGAUCUAACAAAUGUAGCCAACCACCUGAAAAUAGCCUGCAGUGCUGCCGAUUGCACAACACUUAAUUAUGGCGGAUCUUGCAAUGAAAUUGGGGCAAAAGGAAACAUCUCAUAUGCAUUCAACAGUUACUAUCAGCUCCAGAUGCAAAAUGCACAAAGCUGUGAUUUCGAUGGACUUGGUAUGGUGACAUUCCUAGACCCAUCAGUUGGUGAUUGCAGGUUCCCUGUUGGAGUGAAUGAUCAUAAGAGUUCAUUAGCUUUCAGAUCAUGUCAUGGGUGGACCACCAUUUGGACUUCUAUCCUAGGGGGGGUGUGGUUCUUUCUAAUGUUAUGAGAAGUUUCUUUGCAUGGGUUUUUCUCACCCCCCUGUUCAAGAACUAUAAGCAUCAUUGCACAUAGACAAGAGAAUACAGUUAUUUAGGCAUGUCAAGUUUAGUAGAAAUUCCCAUUGCAUCGGGGCUUUUGCAGCAUGUUUGUCUGCAGCAGCAGCGCCAACCUUCAAAUAAUCAUGAAUGAUGCUUACCUCGUGAGUACAACAAGAUCAAAAGUAAACAGAAUCAACAAUAUACCAUGAGCAGGCAUAAGAUAUUUAGUUUACCUCUAGGAUAAUACACUGCAAAGGUAAAUCCUUUUAUUACAGGAUAGGAUAAUACACUGCAAAGGUAAAUCCUUUUAUUACAGGAUACUGAUAAAAUUACAAAUGCCGGAGCCCUCUCGUUUAUAAUAGGAAGAAGAAUAUUGAAGAACUUCUGCAGCUUGCAGAAUGAUGCUCCAA